This 207-nucleotide ribosomal RNA is filed under the name uncultured bacterium. RNAcentral's name for it is "partial 16S ribosomal RNA". It matches the Rfam family "Bacterial small subunit ribosomal RNA", at positions 127 to 334 of the family's 1533-position model. The record is from RNAcentral.
UAUCGCACAGUGGGGGAUACCGCUGGGAAACCGGCGCUAAUACCGCAUGUGGUGCAGCGAGUGAGAUCGGUGCACGAAAGCAGCAAUGCGCUGAGUGAGGGGCCUGCGUCCGAUUAGCUAGUUGGUGGGGUAAGGGCCUACCAAGGCGACGAUCGGUAGCUGGUCUGAGAGGACGGUCAGCCACACUGGGACUGAGACACGGCCCAG